GAUAACAGGCUAAUGACUCCUAAGAGCUCCUGUCGACGGAGUCAUUUGGCAUCUCGAUCUCAACUCAUCACAUCCUAGGGUUGAAGAAGGUCCCAAGAGUCUUACCAUAAAUUAACAAAUGUCAUUUUGGCUUAUGGUGUGACGCACCACUG
RNAcentral lists this non-coding RNA (152 nucleotides) under Capsicum annuum. RNAcentral's name for it is "Bacterial large subunit ribosomal RNA". It matches the Rfam family "Bacterial large subunit ribosomal RNA", at positions 2473 to 2632 of the family's 2925-position model. The record is from Rfam by way of RNAcentral. Lineage: Eukaryota; Viridiplantae; Streptophyta; Magnoliopsida; Solanales; Solanaceae.